RNAcentral lists this ribosomal RNA (1514 nucleotides) under uncultured prokaryote. RNAcentral describes it as "partial 16S ribosomal RNA". It matches the Rfam family "Bacterial small subunit ribosomal RNA". The record is from RNAcentral.
AGAGUUUGAUCCUGGCUCAGAUUGAACGCUGGCGGCAGGCCUAACACAUGCAAGUCGAACGGUAACGGGAAGAAGCUUGCUUCUUUGCCGACGAGUGGCGGACGGGGGAGUAAUACUUAGGAAUAUGCCUUUGUGUGGGGGAUAACUAUUGGAAACGAUAGCUAAUACCGCAUAACGUCUUCGGACCAAAGGGGGCUUUCGGGCCUUCGGGCUGCCGCUUUAUGAUGGACCUGCGUUAGAUUAGCUAGUUGGUGGGGUAAAGGCUUACCAAGGCGACGAUCUAUAGCUGUUCUGAGAGGAAGAUCAGCCACACUGGGACUGAGACACGGCCCAGACUCCUACGGGAGGCAGCAGUGGGGAAUAUUGGACAAUGGGGGCAACCCUGAUCCAGCAAUGCCACGUGUGUGAAGAAGGCCUUAGGGUUGUAAAGCACUUUCAGCAGGGAGGAAGUUGAGUAGGUUAAGAGCUAACUUAAUUGACGUCACCUGCAGAAGAAGCACCGGCUAACUCCGUGCCAGCAGCCGCGGUAAUACGGAGGGUGCGAGCGUUAAUCGGAAUUACUGGGCGUAAAGAGUUCGUAGGCGGUUAAGUAAGUCAGAUGUGAAAGCCCUGGGCUCAACCUGGGAACUGCAUCUGAUACUGUCUAACUAGAGUUUGGUAGAGGAGUGUGGAAUUUCCUGUGUAGCGGUGAAAUGCGUAGAGAUCUGAAGGAACAUCAGUGGCGAAGGCGACACUCUGGGCUGAUACUGACGCUGAGGUGCGAAAGCGUGGGUAGCAAACAGGAUUAGAUACCCUGGUAGUCCACGCCGUAAACGAUGUCUAUUAGCCGUUGGGUUCCUUGAGGACUUAGUGGCGCAGCUAACGCAUUAAGUAGACCGCCUGGGGAGUACGGCCGCAAGGUUAAAACUCAAAUGAAUUGACGGGGGCCCGCACAAGCGGUGGAGCAUGUGGUUUAAUUCGAUGCAACGCGAAGAACCUUACCUGCCCUUGACAUCCUCAGAACUUGUCAGAGAUGACUCGGUGCCUUCGGGAACUGAGAGACAGGUGCUGCAUGGCUGUCGUCAGCUCGUGUCGUGAGAUCUUGGGUUAAGUCCCGCAACGAGCGCAACCCUUAUCCUUAGUUACCAGACUUCGGGUGGGAACUUUAAGGAGACUGCCGGUGACAAACCGGAGGAAGGUGGGGACGACGUCAAGUCAUCAUGGCCCUUACGUCUUGGGCUACACACGUGCUACAAUGGGGAGUACAGAGGGUUGCCAAGCCGCGAGGUGGAGCUAAUCCCAGAAAACUUCUCGUAGUCCGGAUUGGAGUUUACAACUCGACUCCAUGAAGUUGGAAUCGCUAGUAAUCGCGAAUCAGAAUGUCGCGGUGAAUACGUUCCCGGGCCUUGUACACACCGCCCGUCACAUCAUGGGAGUGUGUUGCAACAGAAGUAGCUAGUUUAACCUUCGGGAUGACGGUUACACGAUUACCACGGUAUGGUUCAUGACUGGGGUGAAGUCGUAACAAGGUAACC